GGGAAGAAGAGAAGAGGGGAAAGAAAAGGGAACUCCAGGUUAUUCCGGGGAGUAUGCCUGUUUGAGGGUCGUUAGAACAAAAAUCGAAGCGUCGCUCUUUUUUUUAAGGGUGAUCGCGUCGGAAUUGAGCCGUCUUUCAAAUGUUAAUGCAUGUCAAAGUGGCUUAAAAUUCAUCCAUCCGGUACGAUUAAAGCGUAUUUAAGAUCAAUUUUGAUUAAGAACGCGCGAUGAACGUACCAUCUCAUGUAGUACGUUUGACCUGGGUCGUCAGGAUCAUUCGUAUACGAUACUCAAACUUUUG
This 301-nucleotide unclassified non-coding RNA is filed under the name Funneliformis mosseae. RNAcentral describes it as "partial contains 5.8S ribosomal RNA and internal transcribed spacer 2". Lineage: Eukaryota; Fungi; Glomeromycota; Glomeromycetes; Glomerales; Glomeraceae. The record is from RNAcentral.